CACAACUACUGAGCCCACACACCACAACUACUGAAGCCUGUGUGCCUAGAGCCCAUGCUCCGCAGCAAGAGAAGCCACCGCAAUGAGAAGCCCGUGCACCGCAACGAAGAGUAGCCCCUGCUCACCGCAACUAGAGAAAGCCUGCGUGCAGCAGCAAAAACCCAAUGCAGCCAAAAAUAACUUUUUUUUUAAAUAAAAAUAAAAAUGGGAGACAGCCGGCUGAGAGCUGCAGCACUGGCUGCCCCAGGGCACAGGUUUCUCCCAGCAGCUUUGUUCACUGAUUCAACGGACUGUUUACUGAGCCCCUCUGUGUGCCAAGUGCAUGCAGCCUGAUCACCCAACUUCCUGAUCUUCACAUUCUCUGUUUUCCCAGACAAGUUGUGGUACAAAGAGCAAUGUGAUUCCUACUGUCCAGCUUUUGUUGGUCUGGAGCAGAGAAGGGAUUGGUGCAGAGCUCCCAUUGCUCCUAAGAUCAUUUGUCCCAUCAGCCCAGGGAACCCCUUGUGUGUGCUUUCCCAGCAGGAAUCAAGAAGCAAAGAACUGCAGGGUUAUCUCCCACCCCCAGGUAUGCUUGUCCCCUGGCACUGGAUUGAUAAUUUUUAUUAUCUCAAAAUCUCCCCAUUUGAAAUGGCUCCCAGGAGGCCCUGUGCACCAUUCCACUCAUCCUCUUAAGGGGACACAAGUCAACUUGAUCAGUUGUCCCCAAAUUGGGGCAUUUUCUCCUGCUGAUUUUGGGCUAGGAAGCUGAGAGGAACCACACUCCUCCCAGAGGUGGCGCUGUUGACAUGCCUUGUUCACAGAAAGUCUGAAACUUGAGAGCGAGCAAGAAAAGUCAAAAGAGGUGGCUAUUAGACUUGCAAAGGUGGUGCAACCAUGACCCCCUGUUGUUGUUACACUUCUGGACACAAGGUAGGUCAAAUUAAGCUAGCCCAGCCCUUUCCUGUUUCCUUUCUCGGGAAAUGUAAGCACAUGCAGUAGGAAGCUUCAUAUAAAAUAAGUAUGGGUGGGAGCCAACUGCCCAGGAUCGAUGUCUUAAAAUUUUGAAGCAACUUGCUUAUUAUGGCGUAUUUUCCGAGGAGCUUUUGUUUCUUUCAAAGGUGGGAAGGGCGGGUGACCUAGAAAGGUUUGUGUUAGUGAUGUGUUGAACUCCAUAUCCUUUUGGAAGUAGGUUUCAAAUGCAAAUUAUCUUGAUGCAGAGGCAAGAAUUAAUCUGCUCCAGAAACUUGCAGGUGCUUGAAACAUCUGUUAGGGAAGUCAGUGCCGCUUUUGUUUCUACAGUGGGAUGGAGAGGAAUUGGGCGUCUUUAUCAGCGCGAGACUCAUUUGAUUUCAGGGCAGCUAGAAUGGUGGAGGGCCUCCACCAAGAUCCAGAUUUACUACUUUAAUUUCGUUAUGCUUUUGGCAAUCCCAGAAUCUGAGACUUGAGGCUUUCUUUUCUGGGGUCCAUCCUCAAAAAGGGAAGACAAAGCUUACCCGCCCUGGCUGCACCAAAACAGCAACCCUUGUGCUGGCCGAGGAUUUGGCAUCAUGCUGGGGAUUUGCAAAGGCAAUCUGCUUAUGUCCCCCAUCGUCAUGACGCUUCUGGACACAGGUCUUGCAAGAUCUUCAGAAGUCUUGCUUUGCACCAGAAUGGUUGCUAUGCCGUAAAUCUUGCACUUGAGGCAACUGAGCCUGAAGUACAUCCACAGCCACUAACCCCGGGACCGGCCCUCCGUUGAGGGGGUGGAGUCAGCCUGCAAGUCUUUUCUUUCUUCCUUUCCAUCAUUUUCUUCAUACACCUGCACUGUGCCUUUACUCUGAGCAAAGGACUUCCUUCCUUCCUUCUACAAAAACAUUUUGGGAAGCGUGGGAGAUACAGUAGUACGCAGAGCAGACAGGAACUUUGCCUUCACAAAGUUUAUGAGGAGGGGACAGACAAAAUAAAUAUAAAGCACACGGGGGCUUCCCUGGUGGUGCAGUGGUUAAGAAUCCGCCUGCCAAUGCAGGGGACACAGGUUAGAGCCCUGGUCUGGGAAGAUCCCACAUGCCAGGGAGCAACUAAGCCCGUGCGCCACAACUACUGAGCCUGCGCUCUAGAGCCCGCGAGCCACAACU
Kogia breviceps (pygmy sperm whale) is the source of this 2093-nucleotide non-coding RNA. Lineage: Eukaryota; Metazoa; Chordata; Mammalia; Artiodactyla; Physeteridae. The record is from RefSeq and is a predicted model, not a curated record.